AAAAAAGCUGCCUUUUCUGAGUGGGGUUGCUGAGUUGGCAGAUCCUGGGAGCCUGUCUGAGGAACAAUGCCAGGAGAGUCAGGCAGAGCUGUGAGGUGGGAAGACAGACCAAGAGCCCUACAGCUGGUCUCAGCAGCAAGUGGCGCACAACGUGAGGCACGAAGGAAGGGUCGCCAAAGAAUGACAGUGGAGUUUCAGCGGUGCGGAACCUGGAAGCGGUGUGAGGCCUCAGAAAAUUCCCCGUGUGGACAUCUUAAGCCAUAUCAUGAGCACCCCGCCAAGAAAACGUCGAUUCGCGUGGGACGUCGAACCACCGGUGAUGAGUUUUCAGGGUCUAAGCCUGAAGACUACCAAAACCACAUUCCUGCUGCCUCAGACGCAUCGUGCAUCAAUUCCAACCUGGGCACAAAUAGAUUGACUCAACAAACAGAGAGGGUGUUAGAACAAGAGAAGAAACCUGUCACUCCAUAUAACUUGGCUCUGGUGAUGUUCGCCCUUGGUGUUAGUGGCCAUAAGUAUACCCAGGGCCAUAGCCCAGUCGAAUAACAGUACUUACACAUAUUGGGCUUAUAUUCCUAAUCCCCCAUUGAUCAGAGAAUUGAACUGGGGAGAAAAUUCUGUCCCUGUAUAUCUUAAUGAUUCAUCCUGGGUCUCGGGGCCCGAGGAUGUCUGUCUACCUAUAUUUGAAACGGAAGAAGCCACCUCGUAUGAAAUAAGUGAUUUUGGUUUCAACCCUUGGGCUGUUUGCAUAGGAAGAGGAAGAGGUUGUUUAAAUUUCACUACACAGGCUUGGCUAUCUACUUACAUGCUCGAUAGAAAUCAUAGCAAAGCACAAUUGCAUAUGUUAUCGGGCUACAGUUUCCACUAUU
RNAcentral lists this long non-coding RNA (869 nucleotides) under Equus asinus (donkey). Its description in RNAcentral is "lncRNA (ENSEASG00005024183.1)". The record is from RNAcentral. Lineage: Eukaryota; Metazoa; Chordata; Mammalia; Perissodactyla; Equidae.